RNAcentral lists this transfer RNA (71 nucleotides) under Loxodonta africana (African savanna elephant). It matches the Rfam family "tRNA". From Rfam's summary of the family: Transfer RNA (tRNA) molecules are approximately 80 nucleotides in length. Their secondary structure includes four short double-helical elements and three loops (D, anti-codon, and T loops). The record is from Rfam by way of RNAcentral. Lineage: Eukaryota; Metazoa; Chordata; Mammalia; Proboscidea; Elephantidae.
ACAGUGGUGGUUCAGUGGUAGAAUUAUCGCCUUCCAUGUGGGAGACAUGGGUUUGAUUCCUGGCCAAUGUG